CCACCGAGCGGCGGGUAGAAUC
RNAcentral lists this small nuclear RNA (22 nucleotides) under Arabidopsis thaliana (thale cress). RNAcentral's name for it is "snRNA_06199". The record is from RNAcentral. Lineage: Eukaryota; Viridiplantae; Streptophyta; Magnoliopsida; Brassicales; Brassicaceae.